This 249-nucleotide ribosomal RNA is filed under the name Triticum aestivum (bread wheat). RNAcentral's name for it is "partial small subunit ribosomal RNA". The record is from RNAcentral. Lineage: Eukaryota; Viridiplantae; Streptophyta; Magnoliopsida; Poales; Poaceae.
AUGAACGGGGAUUGUGAGAACUGUGCUUUCUGGAGGAAUCAUUACUACUGGGAACACAUGGGUGACGAGAAGAAGCAAUUUUCUGCUGUAGCCAAAGGUGAUUUCAAGAACAACAUGCGUAUACCACGGGAACUUUCAACCAAUCUGAGGAGUAGGAUCUCUGACACCAUUAAACUCAGCGCUCCUAAUGGUAGGGCAUAUGAUAUUGUGGUGACCUGGGAAUCACUACAAAAAAAUACAAUUCUGUGA